Molecule: long non-coding RNA, 509 nt
Filed under: Homo sapiens (human)
Lineage: Eukaryota; Metazoa; Chordata; Mammalia; Primates; Hominidae
Description: HSALNT0302235
Source: RNAcentral
GGAGGAAGUAACUUGUGGAAUGCUGAGAAAGAAUGAAGCUAUGAAUCCUGAUUAUGCUCAAGUGUAAGGGCAAAGACUGAGGUAUGCACUGAAGAGAAAUGAAAAGUUUCCAGUGAGGUUUGUGUAGAACCCUAUUUCUGAGCUUGGCACCAGGUAGGUACAUGAGCAUGUACAUGUGUGUAUGUGCAGGUGCGUCUGGGGAUACUUCAGUGUGUGCUUUAGACAUCACCCCUGUAUCACUGUUCUAUAACACCAUGACUUUGGAAGGACCCACAUUCAGUCCCCAGAAUGAUGCAGAUAUAGAAGGCCCUUACACAGUCACUGGGAAUCAUAAAGGGGCAAAGAUUUUCCUCAUUCUUCGUAUAUUAUUUUUUGAGUGUCCAUUUUAUGCCAGGUUCCCUGCUAGGCAUUGAGGACGCCAAGACAUUUUCCCAUUUAGCACCUCUACCCCAUCCCCUUACUAGCCUCACCUUGGCCCCUGUAGAGUAGGAGGGAGAAUAAAAAACAAG